UGAAUGACGUGGAGCGGCAGA
Molecule: non-coding RNA, 21 nt
Filed under: Caenorhabditis elegans
Lineage: Eukaryota; Metazoa; Nematoda; Chromadorea; Rhabditida; Rhabditidae
Source: RNAcentral